Molecule: small RNA, 160 nt
Filed under: uncultured Anaerosacchariphilus sp.
Lineage: Bacteria; Bacillati; Bacillota; Clostridia; Lachnospirales; Lachnospiraceae
Description: Clostridiales-1 RNA
Rfam family: Clostridiales-1 RNA
Source: RNAcentral
AUCAAGGGUUACAAGGAGGAAGGCCGUUCAUGCUUGCAUGAUAAGGACUUUCUCUUUGGAAGCCGCCGCACAUGAGGAAGUAGCGAUUUGCGGAGCAAAUCUGCGGAUUCCGAAUGGGCGUAGAAUUGCGGGAGCCGUAAGGCGGAGCAAUUCGUGAUAU